GUUGGCACUUGUGAUGUUGAUGAUUCUACCUGGAAAAUGACAGAAAUUCCAAAUCAACACAAGAUGCUUUGAUGGGGUCGGUGUUACUAGACUGGAUAUGAUGUUUUCACUGCUGAAAUUGGGUGAGGAAAUAAAUCUAUAUGGAAUUAAGGAACCCCUCACCAGCACCCACUCACCUUUAGCUUGCCGAAUCAAUGGUAGAAAUGCCUUUGUGACUCUCAGCAUACCCAUAAAAUUCACUUGCACCUGAGAUUCUAUUUGAUAAUCUAACUGCCAAUCAAAGUGCCCAUAUACCAAGACACCUGCAUUAUUUAUGAGGGCCCAUAGAGUUGUUUCGGUAUUCUGUAGAUUAUCUUUAACUAUUUGCAGAACAUUUUCAAUAUCAGUUGGCUUGGUAACAUCCAUCUGAACAACGAAAAUAUUUGGAUAAUUUUGUUGCAUAAAGUUGGCCCCAUAUCCUUUGAGAUCCAAGCACGUCGCUAUGACGUGAAAGCCCAACUUUUCUGCAGCGAUGGCCAUCGAUAGUCCUAUGCCCGAGUCGCAACCAGUGAUCAAAACACUUUUCCCAGACGGACCACA
This is a long non-coding RNA of Daphnia carinata, 579 nucleotides long. RefSeq lists it as uncharacterized. NCBI's taxonomy places the organism in Eukaryota, Metazoa, Arthropoda, Branchiopoda, Diplostraca, Daphniidae. The record is from RefSeq and is a predicted model, not a curated record. The transcript is spliced from 2 exons.